This 433-nucleotide ribosomal RNA is filed under the name uncultured bacterium. RNAcentral describes it as "partial 16S ribosomal RNA". It matches the Rfam family "Bacterial small subunit ribosomal RNA", at positions 29 to 507 of the family's 1533-position model. The record is from RNAcentral.
AACGAACGCUGGCGGCAUGCCUAACACAUGCAAGUCGAACGAGACCUUCGGGUCUAGUGGCGCACGGGUGCGUAACGCGUGGGAACCUGCCCUUAGGUUCGGAAUAACUCCCCGAAAGGGGUGCUAAUACCGGAUAAUGUCUUCGGACCAAAGAUUUAUCGCCUUUGGAUGGGCCCGCGUUGGAUUAGCUAGUUGGUAGGGUAAAAGCCUACCAAGGCGACGAUCCAUAGCUGGUCUGAGAGGAUGAUCAGCCACACUGGGACUGAGACACGGCCCAGACUCCUACGGGAGGCGGCAGUGGGGAAUAUUGGACAAUGGGCGAAAGCCUGAUCCAGCAAUGCCGCGUGAGUGAUGAAGGCCUUAGGGUUGUAAAGCUCUUUUACCCGGGAUGAUAAUGACAGUACCGGGAGAAUAAGCUCCGGCUAACCCCGUG